UUAUGAAUUCUUAAUAAAUUCUUUUAAGAAAGUAAGGGAUGGAGGACAAGAAAACCAACCGAGGAAGUAUGAGGACAAAAUGAGAUCACAAACAAAUUCAUAAAGGAAAAAAUGAGCAUGGAAAUAAGGAAAGGUCAAAAGACAUCAAAGUCAUAGACAAAUUUAUUUUUUUUCAGUAAGAGGAAAUGAAUUGAAAAUGCUUAAUGAAAAAAUAAGCAAGCAAGCACAUUCUACAAAGCAAGAAAAAAGGGAAUAAUUCCAAAAGGGAAAAAAAGAAAAUUAAAAAAGAAAAUAAUGAUGAAAAUUUGAACUGAAAAUAGAGGAAAAAUCAGAGCUCUCUAAAGAAAAACUACAACAAGCAAGAUUGUCCAAGUCCAGUAAAAAGAAAAAAGUCAGAAUAAAUGGUGAUGGCCUUGCAUGCAGAGGAUAAUGUUAGCAUCUUCUCUGUUUGACCAAGCUCUAAACACUCCAUAGCAUCUUCUUUUGCCACCCUCCCUGCUGUUGAAAAGAAUUGUUCUCCCUCCAUUCCUGCUCUAACUGAAAUGUUUUGGUAGCACUCCAGGUGAGGAGAGCACAGUAUGCCCUACCCAGUCCAGCGCAUGGCUGAAGUUCUUCACUACACUCCUGGACUCUGUGUGUUUGGUGAGAAUGUGACCCCAGAUUUGGAGAAAUAUAUUUUCUAAUUAAUGUCCUUGCUAUGACUUUUGAGUGUUUUCUAAAAGAUUGAAUUUAUUAUUUGAUUAAAGGGAAGGACAUCAACAGGGGCUUAUGAAUUAGUGUUAAGGAAUAUAGCCACCCACAGAAUUAGUUCUAGAUAACAGCCCCUCCCACCCAGGAACCCAAUCUACCAGUGGUGGUAUGAUUUGGGCAAGAGAUCCUUGGUGGACAUUACAAAAAUAUUACACGAGAUUAUGUGUUUUAGGCACCAUAUAAGUGGCAGUUAAUAUCUAACUCUAACUUUCAUAAUGCAAUACUGACAGAUUCUAGAAAAUCAUCACAGAUCAGAUGCCUAUCUUAGAACUAGAAACAUUUGUUAUAUUUUAAAGUUUCUAGCUAUAUUAUUGGGUGUAUUUUGCAGCAAGACAAGGCAAAACAGAGAGUGAGUCAGAGCGAUCAUAAGAAGGAAUGGUAGAAAUCUUGGAAUGUAUAACACUCAGAUCAUAUUCAAUUUGAGUUUAUCAGAUUGCCAGAAAAGCAUAUAGAAAUAGUUGUUUUCACCCUAUAAAAAGUCAAUCCAUGUGAAAGAGGAAAAACUAAACACCAAAAAAGCAACUUAACUCUGACAUUGAGUGAAUUUCUAUUCUAGAUUCCAGUGUCAUAUCCUGAAUGUUAUCUUUGACAGGACUGAAACUCUUUAGCUGCACCAACAUCAUUAUGCUGCACUUCCACAUCAACUCUUAACUACCACCUUUUCAAAUGCUCUGAAUCACAAAGUCAAUGCUCUAUUCACUUUCUUCUUGUUGUAUUGUCUCAUAGCUAAAGUAUCUCCCUGUGACCAGAUAUGCAGAUGACAUAAACAUUCAGACCCAAAUUUGUUUUGUAAUUAAAAAAAAAAAAACCCUUAACAAAUGGAUACCAUGGAAUAUUGAUAGUUAUUUCAAGAUAGACCACUUCUAAAUAACAUGGGCUUUAUCUUAUUCACCAGGUGCCAAGCCAAACUGCUCAAGUGAAUACAAAUGAUUU
RNAcentral lists this long non-coding RNA (1683 nucleotides) under Monodelphis domestica (gray short-tailed opossum). Its description in RNAcentral is "lncRNA (ENSMODG00000038908.1)". The record is from RNAcentral. Lineage: Eukaryota; Metazoa; Chordata; Mammalia; Didelphimorphia; Didelphidae.